GGCGAUGCUGGUUCGAGCCUCAGCUGGGUCAGUUGGUGUUUCUGUGUGCAAGAUGCAAGAACAGGAUGGAUGAAAAAGCAAACUAACCCUGUCAUGGGUAAAAAAAGACAACCUGCUAGGCACCAUACAAGUUGCAUUGAUAGGGAGUCUGCAUAAUGUUGAUCAAAAAUGUGGAUGUCAAAGAUGGACUUGUCAAUGGAUGCUUUGGAAACAUUGGAAACAUUGUGACCAAAACAAAAUACAGACUUGCAUUUGUGCACAUGCUUGGAAAUCAGUCGACAAUCCAAAUGCUGGCCAGAAAUACAUACGACAACAACUGCAAGGUGAAGAGGACACUUUACAUCAAAAGAUCAGAGGAAACUCUUAAGAAAGAAGCAGUCUGUCAACAAUUUCCAAUCAAGAUGGCUUACGCAUGCACCACUCACAAAGUUCAAGGCAUGACCAUGCAAUCGGCUGUCAAAAAUCACAACCGCGUUGGAGAGGACAAAAAAUGGCAACGCUGGAAGGCAUCAUGCUACUUUUUCACUGGAAAAAAAACCAACAACAGUCUGAAAGAAAAGCUUAUCGUUGUGCAUCAUAAAGCAGAGGAACUCCCAUCACAUAUAGAGGACAUAAAACACCAUCACCAAACAUCAGGGGCCUACUUAAUUAUUUGGAAAUGAUGGAGAAUCCCAUAUUUGUCUGUGGAGACUUCACCAAAGACCACCUCUUGUCUGGAAGAAAGCCCAUUCUGGAGUUGUUCCAAUCCCCACUAUACAAACAGCUCAUCUCCAUGGCCACCACAAAGAAACGAACACUGGCCUACGUCUUUGACAUGAAGUCAGUGUGCCACACAGAACCGGGAGACAAAAGACCUGGAUAGAGCCUGAUUAUCAGCCACUCGUCUUUUACUUGGUGGUGUGUGCACAGUUGCGUGAAGGCGGUGUGUCGUACCUGAGGUGGAUGCUGUGUGAUGAGAGUAGAGUAGGGUCAGCAGCAAGGGACAUCAGGAGGAUAUUGUGGCAUCUUCAAAGUUUACAAAGGGCAGUGACAGCAGCAACAGUUGUGGCGAUGCUGGUUCGAGCCUCAGCUGGGUCAGUUGGUGUUUCUGUGUGCAAGAUGCAAGAACAGGAUGGAUGAAAAAGCAAACUAACCCUGUCAUGGGUAAAAAAAGACAACCUGCUAGGCACCAUACAAGUUGCAUUGAUUGGGAGUCUGCAUAAUGUUGAUCAAAAAUGUGGAUGUCAAAGAUGGACUUGUCAAUGGAUGCUUUGGAAACAUUGUGACCAAAACAAAAUACAGACUUGCAUUUGUGCACAUGCUUGGAAAUCAGUCGACAAUCCAAAUGCUGGCCAGAAAUACAUACGACAACAACUGCAAGGUGAAGAGGACACUUUACAUCAAAAGAUCAGAGGAAACUCUUAAAAAAGAAGCAGUCUGUCAACUAUUUCCAAUCAAGAUGGCUUACGCAUGCACCACUCACAAAGUUCAAGGCAUGACCAUGCAAUCGGCUGUCAAAAAUCACAACCACGUUGGAGAGGACAAAAAAUGGCAACGCUGGAAGGCAUCAUGCUACUUUUUCACUGGAAAAAAACCAACAACAGUCUGAAAGAAAAGCUUAUCGUUGUGCAUCAUAAAGCAGAGGGACUCCCAUCACAUAUAGAGGACAUAAAACACCAUCACCAAACAUCAUGGGCCUACUUAAUUAUUUGGAAAUGAUGGAGAAUCCCAUAAUUGUCUGUGGAGACUUCACCAAAGACCACCUCUUGUCUGGAAGAAAGCCCAUUCUGGAGUUGUUCCAAUCCCUACUAUACAAACAGCUCAUCUCCAUGGCCACCACAAAGAAACGAACAUUGGCCUACGUCUUUGACAUGAAGUCAGUGUGCCACACAGAACCGGGAGACAAAAGACCUGGAUAGAGCCUGAUUAUCAGCCACUCGUCUUUUACUUGGUGGUGUGUGCACAGUUGCGUGAAGGCGGUGUGUCGUACCUGAGGUGGAUGCUGUGUGAUGAGAGUAGAGUAGGGUCAGCAGCAAGGGACAUCAGGAGGAUAUUGUGGCAUCUUCAAAGUUUACAAAGGGCAGUGACAGCAGCAACAGUUGUGGCAACGCUGGUUCGAGCCUCAGCUGAGUCAGUUGGUGUUUCUGU
Danio rerio (zebrafish) is the source of this 2127-nucleotide non-coding RNA. The record is from RefSeq and is a predicted model, not a curated record. Lineage: Eukaryota; Metazoa; Chordata; Actinopteri; Cypriniformes; Danionidae.